CAGUGGGGAAUCUUGCACAAUGGAGGAAACUCUGAUGCAGCGAUGCCGCGUGAGUGAAGAAGGCCUUUGGGUUGUAAAGCUCUUUUGUAGGGGAAGAUAAUGACUGUACCCUAAGAAUAAGGUCCGGCUAACUUCGUGCCAGCAGCCGCGGUAAUACGAAGGGACCUAGCGUAGUUCGGAAUUACUGGGCGUAAAGCGCGCGUAGGCCGUUGAGUUAGUUAAUUGUGAAAUCCCAAAGCUUAACUUUGGAACUGCAAUUAAAACUGCUCGACUAGAGUUUGAUAGAGGAAAGCGGAAUACAUAGUGUAGAGGUGAAAUUCGUAGAUAUUAUGUAGAACACCAGUUGCGAAGGCGGCUUUCUGGAUCAACACUGACGCUGAGGCGCGAAAGUAUGGGUAGCAAAUAGGAUUAGAUA
Molecule: ribosomal RNA, 415 nt
Filed under: alpha proteobacterium SCGC AAA028-K22
Lineage: Bacteria; Pseudomonadati; Pseudomonadota; Alphaproteobacteria
Description: bacterial SSU rRNA
Rfam family: Bacterial small subunit ribosomal RNA
Source: RNAcentral